GACGAACGCUGGCGGCGUGCUUAACACAUGCAAGUCGAACGGAAAGGCCCUGCUUUUGUGGGGUGCUCGAGUGGCGAAAGGGUGAGUAACACGUGAGUAACCUGCCCUUGACUUUGGGAUAACUUCAGGAAACUGGGGCUAAUACCGGAUAGGAGCUCCUGCUGCAUGGUGGGGGUUGGAAAGUUUCGGCGGUUGGGGAUGGACUCGCGGCUUAUCAGCUUGUUGGUGGGGUAGCGGCUUACCAAGGCUUUGACGGGUAGCCGGCCUGAGAGGGUGACCGGCCACAAUGGGACUGAGAUACGGCCCAGACUCCUACGGGAGGCAGCAGUGGGGAAUAUUGCACAAUGGGCGGAAGCCUGAUGCAGCAACGCCGCGUGCGGGAUGACGGCCUUCGGGUUGUAAACCGCUUUCGCCUGUGACGAAGCGUGAGUGACGGUAAUGGGUAAAGAAGCACCGGCUAACUACGUG
RNAcentral lists this ribosomal RNA (468 nucleotides) under uncultured bacterium. RNAcentral's name for it is "partial 16S ribosomal RNA". It matches the Rfam family "Bacterial small subunit ribosomal RNA", at positions 28 to 507 of the family's 1533-position model. The record is from RNAcentral.